Molecule: ribosomal RNA, 380 nt
Filed under: uncultured Desulfovibrio sp.
Lineage: Bacteria; Pseudomonadati; Thermodesulfobacteriota; Desulfovibrionia; Desulfovibrionales; Desulfovibrionaceae
Description: bacterial SSU rRNA
Rfam family: Bacterial small subunit ribosomal RNA
Source: RNAcentral
CCCGAAAAGGAAGGUGCCCUUCGGGAAUUCCGAGACAGGUGCUGCAUGGCUGUCGUCAGCUCGUGCCGUGAGGGUGUUGGGUUAAGUCCCGCAACGAGCGCAACCCUAUUGCCAGUUGCUACCAGGUAAUGCUGGGCACUCUGGUGAGACUGCCCGGUUAACGGGAGGAAGGUGGGACGACGUCAAGUCAUCAUGGCCCUUACGCCUAGGGCUACACACGUACUACAAUGGCGCAUACAAAGGGCAGCGAUACCGCGAGGUGGAGCCAAUCCCAAAAAGUGCGUCCCAGUCCGGAUUGCAGUCUGCAACUCGACUGCAUGAAGUUGGAAUCGCUAGUAAUUCGAGAUCAGCAUGCUCGGGUGAAUGCGUUCCCGGGCCUU